Molecule: non-coding RNA, 48 nt
Filed under: Schistosoma curassoni
Lineage: Eukaryota; Metazoa; Platyhelminthes; Trematoda; Strigeidida; Schistosomatidae
Source: RNAcentral
AUCCAGAUGACGAGUCCCAAAUAUGACGAAACGCGCGUAGAACCGGAU